This is a long non-coding RNA of Salvia splendens (bonfire salvia), 545 nucleotides long. RefSeq lists it as uncharacterized. Lineage: Eukaryota; Viridiplantae; Streptophyta; Magnoliopsida; Lamiales; Lamiaceae. The record is from RefSeq and is a predicted model, not a curated record. The transcript has 4 exons.
UCCUCCAAAACAUCCACUCCUAAAAUCUCUCCAACAACCAAAUAAAUCAAUAUCCAUCAGUUUAAUAUCCCACAUUCACGUCUUCCACAUCCAAGUAAAAUCUGUGAGAAAAAAACCUACUGCAGUUUUCUCCUCUUCCGUGAAGUGUAAAGGAGAAACUGGAGAGCUGUGAUUACCUUCUGUGGUGCAAACUUUCUUCUUCCCAAAGGGUGAGCUUGUGCACGUUGUUGCGGUUUGGAACAAGAAAGUGUUGAGGAGUUAAGCUUUUGAGAUUGAGCGGCGAUGGGCGUGGAGGAUGUUGAGCAGAGUCCAUGGAUUGUUUUGUCAUGGUUAAUAAUUGUUGGUUUUGUCGUGUCUUCAUACUCGGCAUUUUCCAUGUCUUGAACGCUUCCGCUAAGAGUCCUUUUCUUUAGAAUUGUUUAUUCGUGGAGAGUCUAACUCGUUUGAAAAUUGUUUAUUUUCUAUUCUUUAUUUACUUAGAGUUGGUAUUAUUGUUAGGAUAAUAUUAUGACGUUUUCAAAGUUAAUUCAGUUAUUAAAUUUUUG